Malaclemys terrapin pileata is the source of this 221-nucleotide long non-coding RNA. RefSeq lists it as uncharacterized. The record is from RefSeq and is a predicted model, not a curated record. Lineage: Eukaryota; Metazoa; Chordata; Testudines; Emydidae. The transcript is spliced from 3 exons.
GGGAGGCGGGGCUGGGCAGCUGCCGUUACCGUCUGUCGCAGGAGGCAGCCGCGGGCGGGGGGUGAGGCGAGAGGGGGACGUGGAGCCGCUGUCAUGAGCUACUCAGUGGCAGCUGUGCAUGUAUAGCAAUGAUUCUCAACCUUGGGGUUAUGGAACUGCUGUCGUUUUCUACAGACUCAAGGCUUAAGGUUAUGGCAACUGGAACUCUAAGACAAAUAGAG